This 456-nucleotide ribosomal RNA is filed under the name uncultured bacterium. Its description in RNAcentral is "bacterial SSU rRNA". It matches the Rfam family "Bacterial small subunit ribosomal RNA", at positions 340 to 786 of the family's 1533-position model. The record is from RNAcentral.
UACGGGAGGCAGCAGGUGGGGAAUAUUGCACAAUGGGCGAAAGCCUGAUGCAGCUAUGCCGCGUGUAUGAAGAAGGCCUUAGGGUUGUAAAGUACUUUCAUCGGGGAAGGAAAAACAAAACUAAUAAUUUUAUUUCUUGACGUUACCCGAAAAAGAAGCACCGGCUAACUCCGUGCCAGCAGCCGCGGUAAUACGGAGGGUGCUAGCGUUAAUCAGAAUUACUGGGCGUAAAGAGCACGUAGGUGGUUUUUUAAGUCAGAUGUGAAAUCCCUGGGCUUAACCUAGGAACUGCAUUUUGAAACUGAAAUACUAGAGUAUCGUAGAGGGAGGUAGAAUUCUAGGUGUAGCGGUGAAAUGCGUAGAUAUCUGGAGGAAUACCUGUGGCGAAAGCGGCCUCCUAAACGAAUACUGACACUGAGGUGCGAAAGCGUGGGGAGCAAACAGGGAUUAGAUACC